AAGAGCGUGGAGAGCACAACACUCACGAACCUAACUUCCAGCUGCAGCUGCUGCUAUGGCCGCUCGUUCAAGAUACCGGAGUAUGUUGUUGUCAUAAUGUGCGGGAAUAGAACGAUUAUUCAUUACCAGCCCUAGUUUGGGGAAAUGUGCCCUUGUAUCCUUGUAUGCAUGACAGUAGUACAAACAUGAAUAACAUUGCUGCUUUUGGUGUUCAGGCAAGCACAUCUGUUCACGGUGCUAGGCUACAUCACGUAGCAUGCCAGACGGACCCACCACAGAUGCGCACACAUGGAACGCAGCUUUCUAUGAAAACACUGCGACCUCACUACAAAAGUACAGGCACACAGAAAACUGUGCUGCACUGAUGUCGGUGUUGGGACCUCAGCUGUAAGAGACCUUGCUUGGAGGAGGGAGAGGACAAGAUGUGACAUUACAUGGAUAACCUGUUGGACCUCAUCUUCCACGAGGUUUUUCAGGACCCGGCCCCAUAUGUGAAUGAGGUGCUGAAGAUCUCAAAACCUGAGGAUCUCUCUGCCUAGUAUGAGAAACCUGACAAGCAGGAAGUUAUAGCCAGCUAUGUGUCGAGUUUCAAUCAAGGGCAGGUCUGAACCCUAUAUAACUUCCCUGAGCAUCAGGGAACACUCUGCGUAUCUGGAGCACCGAGCAGGAGGGCAGGACCACCCUGAUUCUCCGGCCCAGAUAGCCUCAACACCAGCUCACAAAGCUUCUGUACGCCAAAUACCUGUAACAGCUGAGCAAAGUUCACAUUGUAUUUAGAGAAUAAAAGGUGACACACAAAUAUAAAGUGUUCCUUUGUUUACAGUAUAGCUACUGAUGGUACAAAUUGUAUUUUUGUAAUGAAUGUAUUUAUUAUACUUGGUAUUUUUUGUAUUUAUUACCUCUGUCCCAGCCAGUACAUUUAAUAACUGAUUAAAAAGCUCUGUGGCAAUCUUUCUAGCAAUCUU
Pleuronectes platessa (European plaice) is the source of this 965-nucleotide long non-coding RNA. RefSeq lists it as uncharacterized. The record is from RefSeq and is a predicted model, not a curated record. NCBI's taxonomy places the organism in Eukaryota, Metazoa, Chordata, Actinopteri, Pleuronectiformes, Pleuronectidae. The transcript is spliced from 3 exons.